Molecule: non-coding RNA, 28 nt
Filed under: Rattus norvegicus (Norway rat)
Lineage: Eukaryota; Metazoa; Chordata; Mammalia; Rodentia; Muridae
Source: RNAcentral
UGCACAAGUGGUCGGUAACACUUGAGAA